AGUGAACGCUGGCGGUAGGCCUAACACAUGCAAGUCGAACGGCAGCACAGUAAGAGCUUGCUCUUACGGGUGGCGAGUGGCGGACGGGUGAGGAAUACAUCGGAAUCUACUUUUUCGUGGGGGAUAACGUAGGGAAACUUACGCUAAUACCGCAUACGACCUACGGGUGAAAGCAGGGGAUCUUCGGACCUUGCGCGAUUGAAUGAGCCGAUGUCGGAUUAGCUAGUUGGCGGGGUGAUGGCCCACCAAGGGGACGAUCCGUAGCUGGUCUGAGAGGAUGAUCAGCCGCACUGGAACUGAGACAGGGUCCAGACUCCUACGAGAGGCAGCAGACGGGAAUAGUGGACAAUGGGCGCAAGCCUGAUACAGUCAUACCGCGUGGGUGAAGAAGGCCUUCGGGUUGUAAAGCCCUUUUGUUGGGAAAGAAAAGCAGCAGGUUAAGACCCCGCUGUUCUGACGGUACCCAAAGAAUAAGCACCGGCUAACUUCGUG
This 492-nucleotide ribosomal RNA is filed under the name uncultured bacterium. Its description in RNAcentral is "partial 16S ribosomal RNA". It matches the Rfam family "Bacterial small subunit ribosomal RNA", at positions 29 to 507 of the family's 1533-position model. The record is from RNAcentral.